This 72-nucleotide transfer RNA is filed under the name Toxocara canis (dog roundworm). It matches the Rfam family "tRNA". Rfam says of the family: Transfer RNA (tRNA) molecules are approximately 80 nucleotides in length. Their secondary structure includes four short double-helical elements and three loops (D, anti-codon, and T loops). The record is from Rfam by way of RNAcentral. Lineage: Eukaryota; Metazoa; Nematoda; Chromadorea; Rhabditida; Toxocaridae.
CGGGCAAUAGUUCAGUGGUGGAGCUCCCGCUUCAUAUGCGGGAAGACCUGGGUUCGAUUCCCGGCUGCUUAC